GGGAAGGUGGCUCAGUGGUAGAGUGCUUGCCUCGAAUGCAUGAGGACCUGGGUUCAAUUCCUCAGUGCCA
This is a non-coding RNA of Dipodomys ordii (Ord's kangaroo rat), 70 nucleotides long. The record is from Rfam. Lineage: Eukaryota; Metazoa; Chordata; Mammalia; Rodentia; Heteromyidae.